RNAcentral lists this ribosomal RNA (440 nucleotides) under uncultured bacterium. Its description in RNAcentral is "partial 16S ribosomal RNA". It matches the Rfam family "Bacterial small subunit ribosomal RNA", at positions 338 to 795 of the family's 1533-position model. The record is from RNAcentral.
CCUACGGGUGGCAGCAGUGGGGAAUAUUGCACAAUGGGGGAAACCCUGAUGCAGCGACGCCGUGUGAGUGAAGACGUACUUCGUUAUGUAAAGCUCUAUCAGCAGGGAAGAAAAUUAUGGUACCUGAGUAAUAAGCUCCGGCUAACUACGUGCCAGCAGCCGCGGGUAUACGUAGGGGGCCAGCGUUAUCCGGAUUUACUGGGUGGAAAGGGAGCGUAGACGGCAGGGCAAGUCUGGAGUGAAAGGCGGGGGCUCAACCUCCGGAUUGCACUGGAAACUGUACGGCUGGAGUGCAGGAGAGGUAAGUGGAAUUCCUAGUGUAGCGGUGAAAUGCGUAGAUAUUAGGAGGAACACCAGUGGCGAAGGCAGCUUACUGGACUGUAACUGACGUUGAGGCUCGAAAGCGUGGGGAGCAAACAGGAUUAGAUACCCGUGUAGUC